This 22-nucleotide microRNA is filed under the name Ornithorhynchus anatinus (platypus). RNAcentral's name for it is "oan-miR-1378". The record is from miRBase by way of RNAcentral. Lineage: Eukaryota; Metazoa; Chordata; Mammalia; Monotremata; Ornithorhynchidae.
GAAGUGCUGGGUGUUUGGGUGA